RNAcentral lists this ribosomal RNA (424 nucleotides) under uncultured Nitrososphaerota archaeon. Its description in RNAcentral is "bacterial SSU rRNA". It matches the Rfam family "Archaeal small subunit ribosomal RNA", at positions 338 to 761 of the family's 1478-position model. The record is from RNAcentral. Lineage: Archaea; Thermoproteati; Nitrososphaerota.
GGCGAGAAACCUUUGCCAAUGUGCGCAAAGCACGACAAGGUUAAUCCGAGUGUUUCCUGCUAAAGGAAUCUUUUGUUAGUUGUAAAACCACUGAUGAAUAAGGGGUGGGCAAGUUCUGGUGUCAGCCGCCGCGGUAAAACCAGCACCUCAAGUGGUCAGGAUGAUUAUUGGGCCUAAAGCAUCCGUAGCCUGUUCUGUAAGUUUCCGGUUAAAUCCAUUAGCUCAACUAAUGGGCUGCCGAAAAUACUGCAGAACUAGGGAGUGGGAGAGGUAGACGGUACUCGGUAGGAAGGGGUAAAAUCCUUUGAUCUAUUGAUGACCACCUGUGGCGAAGGCGGUCUACCAGAACACGUCCGACGGUGAGGGAUGAAAGCUGGGGGAGCAAACCGGAUUAGAUACCCGGGUAGUCCCAGCUGUAAACUAU